UCUAAAGUUGAAAUCUGGCAAUUUCCGCUACAGAUUCUAGUUUCUGUGAACCGUCGACUAUUCAAGUCAAACGUCAUUUUGAAAUGUUAGUGGACUCAGUCUAAGUACAAUAGAAUCUAAGUAGAGAUUCUAGAUCUAUCUCGUCUUGAUUGCUUUUGCCCAGGUUACAAAUAUGGCAAGUCUUGCUAAGUGCUUAGCUAGAACAAUUGUUGUUUCCAAGAAUAACUGGAUCUUAAAAAGCUGCAAGAAAUCAAUCACGACUUCUGGAAAAAUGCAUUCCCAGCACUGGCAACAAGAGGGAAUACCUGGAGCGAACAUGCCAAUUGGAAUUAAAAGUAAACCACUUCUUACUCUUGGAUUUUUAUUUUUUUUAUUUACUGGCCUUCAGUCACCAUUUUCGAUAGUGCUUUGGAAUAUCUACUUACAAAAUCGUCCAGCGCCAGCACCAGUUGUUGAAUCUGCUACUGCUUUACCUCUUGAGGAAAAAACUGAUUAUUGUGGCAACUAAAUUUAGACAUAGCUAAUUGCAACAGCUGCCUACAGGUUUAUUCAGAAGUCAACUUUCAAUAUUCUAUUACCAUUUUUGUUUAAAUAUUUGAAUUUGAAUUAAAUGUUUGCACAA
Molecule: long non-coding RNA, 622 nt
Organism: Physella acuta
Lineage: Eukaryota; Metazoa; Mollusca; Gastropoda; Physidae
Source: RefSeq, a predicted model, not a curated record